GGGGGCAACCCUGAUCCAGCCAUGCCGCGUGAGUGAAGAAGGCCUUCGGGUUGUAAAGCUCUUUCGUGGGGAGCGAAACGGUCUGGAUUAACACUCCAGAUUACUGACGGUACCCCAAGAAGAAGCACCGGCUAACUACGUGCCAGCAGCCGCGGUAAUACGUAGGGUGCGAGCGUUAAUCGGAAUUACUGGGCGUAAAGCGUGUGUAGGUGGUUUUGUAAGUCAGAUGUGAAAUCCCUGGGCUUAACCUGGGAACUGCGUUUGAAACUGCGAGACUAGAGUGUAGCAGAGGGGGGUGGAAUUCCACGUGUAGCAGUGAAAUGCGUAGAGAUGUGGAGGAACACCGAUGGCGAAGGCAGCCCCCUGGGUUAACACUGACGCUCAAACACGAAAGCGUGGGGAGCAAACAGGAUUAGAUACCCUGGUAGUCCACGCCCUAAACGAUGUCAACUAGUUGUUGGGAAAGGAGACUUUCUUAGUAACGCAGCUAACGCGCGAAGUUGACCGCCUGGGGAGUAC
This 519-nucleotide ribosomal RNA is filed under the name uncultured bacterium. Its description in RNAcentral is "bacterial SSU rRNA". It matches the Rfam family "Bacterial small subunit ribosomal RNA", at positions 373 to 883 of the family's 1533-position model. The record is from RNAcentral.